RNAcentral lists this ribosomal RNA (411 nucleotides) under uncultured microorganism. RNAcentral's name for it is "bacterial SSU rRNA". It matches the Rfam family "Bacterial small subunit ribosomal RNA", at positions 9 to 424 of the family's 1533-position model. The record is from RNAcentral.
GAGUUUGAUCCUGGCUCAGAUUGAACGCUGGCGGCAUGCCUUACACAUGCAAGUCGAACGGUAACGGGUCCUUCGGAGUGCCGACGAGUGGUGAACGGGUGAGUAAUAUAUCGGAACGUGCCCAGUAGUGGGGAGUAAUUGCUCGAAAGAGCAGCUAAUACCGCAUACGACCUGAGGGUGAAAGGGGGGAGUCGCAAGACCUCUCGCUAUUGGAGCGGCCGAUAUCAGAUUAGCUAGUUGGUGGGGUAAAGGCCUACCAAGGCAACGAUCUGUAGUUGGUCUGAGAGGACGACCAGCCACACUGGGACUGAGACACGGCCCAGACUCCUGCGGGAGGCAGCAGUGGGGAAUUUUGGACAAUGGGCGCAAGCCUGAUCCAGCAAUGCCGCGUGCAGGAAGAAGGCCUCGGUU